AUGUGUCCCAAGUGCUCCUACCUAAGUCGAUGGUCUGGCCUUCCCCAAGCUAUGGUGGGGAGAGGAGAUGUGCUUCCUCCAUGGCUGGCCGGUGGACGCUGCUGCAAGGGCGGUGGGAGCUGCGGCGAGCCAGGGAGGCAACAUUGUGAUCGGGCACCACCGCAGGUGUUACAACGCAGCACAAAGGCCAAGGUGCGGUGUUGCUCGCCGCCGGUGUUGCAACGCAGCGUGAAGGCCGGAGGCGGGCGCCGCUUGCUGCCGGUGUUGCGUUGCAGCACGCAGGAAGAAGUUGGGUUGCUCGCCAUUGGUGUUGUGUUGGAGCUUUUGUCACGUCAUCAGAGUUGCAAUGGAGCGCCGCAUGAGGUUGCAAUGGAGCAUCAUCGGAGCUGA
Molecule: ribosomal RNA, 390 nt
Filed under: Triticum aestivum (bread wheat)
Lineage: Eukaryota; Viridiplantae; Streptophyta; Magnoliopsida; Poales; Poaceae
Description: partial small subunit ribosomal RNA
Source: RNAcentral